UUCCAAGGAGCAUGCCUGUUUGAGUGUCGUUAAA
Molecule: ribosomal RNA, 34 nt
Filed under: Amanita sp. 'S14'
Lineage: Eukaryota; Fungi; Basidiomycota; Agaricomycetes; Agaricales; Amanitaceae
Description: partial 5.8S ribosomal RNA
Source: RNAcentral